RNAcentral lists this ribosomal RNA (385 nucleotides) under uncultured bacterium. RNAcentral's name for it is "bacterial SSU rRNA". It matches the Rfam family "Bacterial small subunit ribosomal RNA", at positions 30 to 416 of the family's 1533-position model. The record is from RNAcentral.
AUUGAACGCUGGCGGCAUGCCUUACACAUGCAAGUCGAACGGCAGCACGGGGCAACCUGGUGGCGAGUGGCGAACGGGUGAGUAAUGCAUCGGAACGUGCCAUUGAGUGGGGGAUAACGUAGCGAAAGUUGCGCUAAUACCGCAUAUUCUGUGAGCAGGAAAGCAGGGGACCGCAAGGCCUUGCGCUCUUUGAGCGGCCGAUGUCAGAUUAGCUAGUUGGUGAGGUAACGGCUUACCAAGGCGACGAUCUGUAGCGGGUCUGAGAGGAUGAUCCGCCACACUGGAACUGAGACACGGUCCAGACUCCUACCGGGAGGCAGCAGUGGGGAAUUUUGGACAAUGGGCGCAAGCCUGAUCCAGCCAUGCCGCGUGAGUGAAGAAGGCC